UAGUUGAGUUGAGUUGAGUUGGUGUUACCAAAGAAGUGUACUGCAAUUGCAUCCAGCUGAAGCCACUAUCAGAGAUCUUUUAACCUUUCAUACUUUAAAUGUUCUAUAUCAUUUUGAUUUUUUAUUUUGAAAAUUUAUAUUUCAUUGAAGAUUUAUGAUUGAUUAAUGUUCUUGCUAUGGCCCUUGACAUUCUGUUAUCAUGGUUUGUAUAGGAAACAUUGUACAGAUUCAUGUAGUACAGUUCGCCCCUUCUAUGAACUUUGCAUUUAAUUCUUCAUUAAUUGUCUUCAGAUUGUUGGGCAUUCACUUG
This 310-nucleotide unclassified non-coding RNA is filed under the name Hevea brasiliensis (rubber tree). Lineage: Eukaryota; Viridiplantae; Streptophyta; Magnoliopsida; Malpighiales; Euphorbiaceae. The record is from RNAcentral.